RNAcentral lists this ribosomal RNA (511 nucleotides) under uncultured archaeon. Its description in RNAcentral is "bacterial SSU rRNA". It matches the Rfam family "Archaeal small subunit ribosomal RNA", at positions 346 to 859 of the family's 1478-position model. The record is from RNAcentral.
ACCUCUGCAAUAGGCGAAAGCCUGACAGGGUUACUCUGAGUGAUGCCCGCUAAGGGUAUCUUUUGGCACCUCUAAAAAUGGUGCAGAAUAAGGGGUGGGCAAGUCUGGUGUCAGCCGCCGCGGUAAUACCAGCACCCCGAGUUGUCGGGACGAUUAUUGGGCCUAAAGCAUCCGUAGCCUGUUCUGCAAGUCCUCCGUUAAAUCCACCUGCUCAACGGAUGGGCUGCGGAGGAUACCGCAGAGCUAGGAGGCGGGAGAGGCAAACGGUACUCAGUGGGUAGGGGUAAAAUCCAUUGAUCUACUGAAGACCACCAGUGGCGAAGGCGGUUUGCCUGAACGCGCCCGACGGUGAGGGAUGAAAGCUGGGGGAGCAAACCGGAUUAGAUACCCGGGUAGUCCCAGCUGUAAACGAUGCAGACUCGGUGAUGGGUUGGCUUCGAGCCAACCCAGUGCCGCAGGGAAGCCGUUAAGUCUGCCGCCUGGGGAGUACGGUCGCAAGACUGAAACUUAA